Mus musculus (house mouse) is the source of this 341-nucleotide non-coding RNA. The record is from the annotation of a RefSeq genome assembly. NCBI's taxonomy places the organism in Eukaryota, Metazoa, Chordata, Mammalia, Rodentia, Muridae.
AUGUCAACCUCUUGGCUUUUUCUUCUGUCUUUGACCUGUGUUUAUGGAGACUCCUGGAUAUCUCAGGAUCAGCUCUCCUUUACCCGAAGACCAAACAAGACGGUGCACAUAAGUUGCAAGCUCUCUGGGGUUCCCCUUCAUAACACCAUUGUGCACUGGUACCAACUGAAAGAAGGGGAGCCCCUGAGACGAAUCUUCUAUGGCUCAGUCAAAACUUACAAACAAGACAAGUCCCACUCCCGCUUGGAAAUUGAUGAGAAGGAUGAUGGUACCUUUUACCUGAUAAUCAACAAUGUUGUCACAUCGGAUGAAGCCACGUACUACUGUGCCUGCUGGGAUCU